RNAcentral lists this ribosomal RNA (253 nucleotides) under uncultured bacterium. RNAcentral's name for it is "partial 16S ribosomal RNA". It matches the Rfam family "Bacterial small subunit ribosomal RNA", at positions 524 to 776 of the family's 1533-position model. The record is from RNAcentral.
UACGUAGGGGGCUAGCGUUGUCCGGAUUUACUGGGCGUAAAGAGCGCGUAGGCGGAGAUCUAAGCGUGGCCUGAAAGCCCCCGGCUCAACCGGGGAGUGCGGCUGCGAACUGGGUUUCUUGAGGACGAUAGAGGAGAGUGGAAUUCCUGGUGUAGCGGUGAAAUGCGUAGAUAUCAGGAGGAACACCCGAGGCGAAGGCGGCUCUCUGGGUCGUACCUGACGCUGAGGCGCGAAAGCGUGGGGAGCGAACGGG